Molecule: ribosomal RNA, 372 nt
Filed under: uncultured bacterium
Lineage: Bacteria
Description: bacterial SSU rRNA
Rfam family: Bacterial small subunit ribosomal RNA
Source: RNAcentral
CUACGUAGGUGGCAAGCGUUGUCCGGAAUUACUGGGUGUAAAGGGUGCGUAGGCGGCCUUGCAAGUCAGAUGUGAAAGAUCACGGCUUAACUGUGGUAAGCAUUUGAAACUGUAAGGCUUGAGUGCAGGAGAGGAGAGUGGAAUUCCUAGUGUAGCGGUGAAAUGUGUAGAUAUUAGGAAGAAUAUCAGUGGCGAAGGCGGCUCUCUGGACUGCAACUGACGCUGAGGCACGAAAGCGUGGGGAGCAAACAGGAUUAGAUACCCUGGUAGUUCACGCUGUAAACGAUGAGUGCUAGGUGUCGGGGGUCAUACCUCGGUGCCGCAGUUAACGCAUUAAGCACUCCACCUGGGGAGUACGGCCGCAAGGCUGAA